GCCGCCCUAGCUCAGUGGUAGAGCAGCCCCCUUGUAAGGGGCAGGUCGUCGGUUCGAGUCCGACGGGCGGCUCCA
RNAcentral lists this transfer RNA (75 nucleotides) under bacterium. RNAcentral's name for it is "tRNA-Thr". It matches the Rfam family "tRNA". From Rfam's summary of the family: Transfer RNA (tRNA) molecules are approximately 80 nucleotides in length. Their secondary structure includes four short double-helical elements and three loops (D, anti-codon, and T loops). The record is from RNAcentral.